Molecule: ribosomal RNA, 443 nt
Filed under: Paenibacillus sp.
Lineage: Bacteria; Bacillati; Bacillota; Bacilli; Caryophanales; Paenibacillaceae
Description: bacterial SSU rRNA
Rfam family: Bacterial small subunit ribosomal RNA
Source: RNAcentral
UACUCCUACGGGAGGCAGCAGUAGGGAAUCUUCCGCAAUGGGCGCAAGCCUGACGGAGCAACGCCGCGUGAGUGAUGAAGGUUUUCGGAUCGUAAAGCUCUGUUUCCAGGGAAGAACGUCCGGUAGAGUAACUGCUGCCGGAGUGACGGUACCUGAGAAGAAACCCCCGGCUAACUACGUGCCAGCAGCCGCGGUAAUACGUAGGGGGCAAGCGUUGUCCGGAAUUAUUGGGCGUAAAGCGCGCGCAGGCGGCUAUUUAAGUCUGGUGUUUAAACCUUGGGCUCAACCUGGGGUCGCACUGGAAACUGGAUGGCUUGAGUUCAGAAGAGGAAAGUGGAAUUCCUCGUGUAGCGGUGAAAUGCGUAGAGAUGUGGAGGAACACCAGUGGCGAAGGCGACUUUCUGGGCUGUAACUGACGCUGAGCGCGAAGCACCUUUUGCCAC